GUUGAGUGAAUGCCAAGUGAAUAAUGCCUUUUGGGGUGUGGCUUGUAUUUCUAGAAAAUUCUGUAUUAUAUUGAGUCAGAAUUGAUCCCUGUUAACUUCCAGCAGUCACUUUAAGUCCACUCCUUUGGGUGAUAUUGAGAACAUUGUAUUUGCUAUGAAUAAACUUUUUUUUUUUUUUACUUUGUUAUGUUUCCCACUCUACUAUAAAAAAAUAGUUAAUAGUAGAGUCUCUCAAAGAACAGGGUGCAUAUCACCAAGCAUGUACAUAAUUAGGCAUGUACAUAAUUCUUUUUUUUUCCUUUUGGUACUAGGGAUUAAGCUCAGGGGUGCUCUAUGGCUGAGCCACAUAUUUAGCACCCCCCUCCCCCUUUUAUUUUCAGACAGGGUCUUGCUAAAUGGCAAGACUGGCCUUGAACUUUUGAUCCUCCUGCUGCAGCCUCCCAAGUUGUGGGCCACCACACCUGGCUAGGCAUAAUUCUUUUUACAUACAAUUUGUAAGUGUUUGAAAACAAUUGUUAAGCCUGUACAGGCUUUUUAAAGCUAAUCUUCCUUUUUCAGAACUUCCUUAUGCAGAUUUUUCAAUGUCAUUAUUUCCCUCAUAACAGGCCUUUAUUUUUCUCUUUCCUUCCUACUCUGUCACCAAGAACUCAACACAGUAUUUAAAAUGUCAUCAAUGGCAAGAUAGGAGAAUCACCUUCUCCUUUGUUCUAAACACCAUUUUCCUGCUAGUACAACAUAAUAUUGGAUUCCUUGCCACAUGCUGGUUUCCGUUGCAACCCACAUCUUUUUCACCAAGACUCUAUAAAUCACACCUUUCCUUUAUGCCUUGUGAUUUGUUUUUACUUGAAGUUCACCUUCUUAGACUUAGCUUGCCUAUGGGGACAGCAUGGGCUCUGUUGUGCCAACCUUCUAAUUCUGUGUCUAGCUUCACGUUAUUUACAACCAUAUGGUCCCAUGGCUUGGUCACUUGACUCAUUCAUGCAAGUGUUUAGCAGAUCAGAGAGCCUGGCUGCUCAAUGUUGGAAACCACCCUCGAAGAGUGUCCACAGAAACAGCUUGGAGGUCUUAUCAGAUGCCUUCAUGAAAUUCAGAAAAUCUUUCUGUCUCAGAAUAAGGAAAAAGACGGCACAAUGACUAUGACCGGAUUUGGUCUCAGGGAUCUCCACUGGUAUCUGUUGACUUCCAUUUCCUUUCCCAGAGUAAACAAACCUCCUAUUCAUCUUCACUCUGCCAGAGAUGAACAUAAAGCAAGAGUAGCNCAGUCUUGAUUCUGUCUGCAGAGAACAGGUGCUUUCUAGACUGCCAAGCCAGCAUGUGGCUUUAUGCUCGGAGCACAGGUCCAGAGGUCAGAAAGAGAAUAAUGAUAACUGUGCAGCCCUGGCAUACAUGAGACUCCAACUUCUUUGAACCCUUCCAGCAGAGAAAAGUUCUCUGUCUCUCCCAGAGUGGUUUGGGAGUCAUUGACCUUAUUUUGUUAGUGUAAACAUAUAUUAUAAAACUUUAAGAAGACAAUGUGUUUUGUAGUUUUAGCAGACAGGAAGGCCAUUAGAGAUCAAGGAUGUUAAUGGAGUACCAAUCAUGCUACUCUGGAACAUUUAAAACAAAGACUAUGAUUAGAUGCUACCUUUAAAACUAAAAGAAGUGAAGUAUAUUUCUAUGUUUUAGACUUGUCCGUUUUGAACAAAGUUUCACUUUUUUUUUUUAAACAUGAAGUUAGUAACCUCAGGAAUGAGUUCUUUUUAGGAUUUUGGAUCUCUUGUCUGGUCCUCUUUGAGUCAGCCACAUUGCUAGGGACGAUUCUGCUCCUAAGAUCCACCCUGCUGGUGGAAUGAUGAGACAGCCCCCCACACACACACACCAUCGGGGAGCUGGGCAUAUCUUUGCGUAUGUUUACCCCAAAUGUGGA
This 1906-nucleotide long non-coding RNA is filed under the name Marmota monax (woodchuck). The record is from RNAcentral. Lineage: Eukaryota; Metazoa; Chordata; Mammalia; Rodentia; Sciuridae.